This 253-nucleotide ribosomal RNA is filed under the name uncultured bacterium. Its description in RNAcentral is "partial 16S ribosomal RNA". It matches the Rfam family "Bacterial small subunit ribosomal RNA", at positions 524 to 776 of the family's 1533-position model. The record is from RNAcentral.
UACAGGGGUGGCAAGCGUUGUUCGGAAUUACUGGGCGUAAAGGGCGCGUAGGUGGCCAUCUAAGUCAGACGUGAAAUCCCCCGGCUUAACCUGGGAACUGCGUCUGAUACUGGACGGCUUGAGUAUGGGAGAGGAACGUAGAAUUCCAGGUGUAGCGGUGAAAUGCGUAGAUAUCUGGAGGAAUACCGGUGGCGAAGGCGGCGUUCUGGACCAUUACUGACACUGAAUCGCGAAAGCUAGGGGAGCAAACGGG